UGGGGUUUCUCUUCCUGGUUGAUCACAUUGGACAUGGCAAGCAUGCAUACAUGCUCUGAAGGUUAUCCGUUGCCAUCUACUUGGGAAAAUGUUAAAGAGGCAAUGCCCUCCAGGUGGUGGCUGACCAUUGGCUGGAGCCUGAGGAGUGCCAGCUAUAAAUUGAGACCUGUCAAGACUGGCCCAGCCCCUCUCUUUCUGCUGUCUUCCUGCUCCCAAAAAAGCUGUGUCAUUGUCAGAGAUUUCUCCCAGCUCUGUUUUGAUACCAAGAAGAAGAAGAAGCUGGUUCAGAGAAGUGGGC
This is a long non-coding RNA of Archocentrus centrarchus (flier cichlid), 298 nucleotides long. RefSeq lists it as uncharacterized. Lineage: Eukaryota; Metazoa; Chordata; Actinopteri; Cichliformes; Cichlidae. The transcript is spliced from 3 exons. The record is from RefSeq and is a predicted model, not a curated record.